UGUUAUCGAAGGAAUGCCUUAAUUCAUAACUA
Regulatory RNA element from Capnocytophaga ochracea DSM 7271, 32 nucleotides. It matches the Rfam family "S4-Flavobacteria ribosomal protein leader". Lineage: Bacteria; Pseudomonadati; Bacteroidota; Flavobacteriia; Flavobacteriales; Flavobacteriaceae. The record is from Rfam.